RNAcentral lists this long non-coding RNA (945 nucleotides) under Linum usitatissimum (flax). RNAcentral describes it as "long non-coding RNA (LUSI_LNC006610)". The record is from RNAcentral. Lineage: Eukaryota; Viridiplantae; Streptophyta; Magnoliopsida; Malpighiales; Linaceae.
AGGAUCAUUGCAUUGUAUCGUUUCACUUUUUGAAAACACAGAGCAUGUAACAUUGUAUCAGCCAACUUCUUACUCGGAGACAAGAAUAGCAAGUUUGUGGCUUUCGCUGCAUCUUGCAGGUAUUUUAAGCAUCUAUGCUGAACCUACAUUUCGAACCAAAUUUUUGUAGUAAAUGGUGCGGCUUCAGUUAUAGGAUGGAGGUGACGCUUGCAAUAUGGUGGUCAAUCCCUGUGAAACUUUUGGAGGUGACACUUGCAGAUAUGACUAAAAGUGGAUUGGUAAGUAAGUAAAGUCAUUCUAACUGACCGAUGUGAUGCUAUUAGUUUUAUGAGGGUUUAUUGUCACAUUUGGUUCCUGGACUGGUACUUCCUUUUAGGAGCAAUUGCAGCUGGAGAGGGUAAUUACUGGCUUUCUGUUUGGUGGCUCUGGUUCACUAUGGAACUCUUCAGUCUCGUGGGAACCUGGUAAAAUUUGAAUUUGUGCCUGAGACAGAUACUAAUAUGGUGCUGACUUCACUUUACAAAAACUGCUUGAAGUGAAGGCACAUACUGAAUCUUGUAGAAGCAUGUUCUAGUUGCAGCUUCAUUCUAGUUUCUCCUCUUCGGCUUGUAAAAUUUCCGCAAUAUCACAAGUGAUAUCAUAAUGAUGGGGUCUAGUGACCUCUCUAUCUUGGCGAUCGAUGUUGAAACUAGAACAUCAAUUGCUCGUAUCAGUACCAUUCAUAUACCAUCAAUUCUUCUGUUGGUGUUUCAAAUUUAUUCAGAACUACUGAAAUGGAAUUGUACAUUCUCGUCUGAUCAUCUAAGAAACUAGAGGUCAUUCUAUUGGAAGGUGAAUUAUAAUUGCACUUAUUUCCUUAACCAUUUGAUUAUUUGUCACAAGGAUGCAGUCUUUAGUUUGAUUAACCUCACAGAUUUUCAAGUAUAUAUUGUGACAAGAGAUGAC